Physeter macrocephalus (sperm whale) is the source of this 1618-nucleotide long non-coding RNA. RefSeq lists it as uncharacterized. Lineage: Eukaryota; Metazoa; Chordata; Mammalia; Artiodactyla; Physeteridae. The record is from RefSeq and is a predicted model, not a curated record. The transcript has 5 exons.
AGCCCGACCUCGGAGCCUAAGCGUCCCUUAGUAACCUUCGCAAAAAGGAAGAGAGGGGUUCCCCUUUUGGCCCUGGACCAGUGACUUUGCUGUUUCUUCCUUGCAGAGACCUGGCUUUGGGCGAUGGGGGGAUAAGGGGAUUAGAGCAGUGGCUCUCAUAGGGUGGUCUGAGGGGCCCUGUGGAUCCGAAGAUCCUUUCAAAACUAGCUUCAUAGUAAUGGUUUCGUUUCCCUUUCUUACUCUCGCUGAAAUUUUCCAGAGAACUGAUGUGUGAUGACGUCAUCGCUCUCAUGACUAAAGGAAUGUGUGCUUGUAUUGUGUUUUCUAGAAUUUCCUAAGCCACUUCAGGUAGUGCCUUUCCUGACAUCAUUGCACAGAGAUGACCGUACAUAGGCCCUUCCUGUCUCUGCUUUGUUCUGUUUUGUGGGAGGACGCAGGAGAGCUUGUUACAGAGAUACUGCUAACACUUUCAGAAUGUUCCACAUUUGUUGAAAACUACAAACAAACAUAUCCAAGAAUCCCAGUGAAUGCCAAGCAGCAUAAACACAAAGAAACCACAUCAAGGCACUGCAGAAUCAAAUUUCUCAAAACUAGUGAUACAGAGAAAAUCUUAAAUUAAGACUAAUCACUGGUUUCUCAUCAAAAACAAUGCAAACCUGAAGAUGGUGGAACAACAUCUUUAAAGUAUUGGAAGAAUGCUUUCAACCCAGAAUUUUAUAUCCAGUGAAAAUGUCCUUCAAAGAUGAAGGCAAAAUAAAGACAUUUCAGUUUUCUGACAUCAGAAGUGGGAUCCAAAGAAGACCCUCAACAACUCUGAGGCCAGUGAGCAACCACGUGCUGGUACCCACUGGGCCCAUGGAGCUCACCACUUUCUUGCCAACCUUGCAGUCAGCCUGAAUGCUGCUCUCUUUGCAUGUUGAGCUCUCGGAAUUUAUUGUGCAUACCUGUAUUCUGUUUGUUGAAGCUUCUUGAAGAAGAAAGGAAAAAGAAGAAGGCAAAACCUAAAUGGAUAUAGAAGGAUGCAAAAGGUUUGUGGAAGAGAAAUUUUAUGUUGUGAGGUCACAGCUGGCUAAAAUUGAAUAGAUUUAUUUACAAGGAUUUUUAAAAUGAGCUCAGUAAUGUACUGAUACAAAACUAGAGUUUAAUUUUCUCUCUGUUAAAAUCACAAAAUUUCUUAGAUUAUUGGUCUGUUCUUAAUAAAAUAUUAUAAAAGGUUUGUCUUUACCUUUAAUGUAAUCUGCCUAGGAAACAAGGCUUCCGUGUCAUGGGAAAUAUUUCCUGUAUUCCACAUUGUCUUUAUCAGAUCUUUGAUUAAUUAGGAAAACUGAGUUUUUUCAAUUUUAAGAGCUAAGGUUUUUUACAACUAUAUAACUUUCUAUAUUUGCCUUUGAAAUCUUUCAGUUAUCACUUUGGUGAACAGAUAACUAAGUAUUAUGUCAUAGUGACUUACACUCCUAAUUGAUCAAGGGUUUCAAAUCUUUUGACAUUUUUGACAAACUUCCCCCAAUCAAAUUUUGAAUGAAGUCUUUUUGACCUCAAACUAACUUUGGAAUUUUCCAGAGGGCCCCUGGAAGUUCUGAAAACAUUUGCUUUUUCUCCUUAUAAAAGAGAAAUCUCA